UGCCACUGAGCGCCCCAUGCGUGGGGCGGCACGUGAUGCACACAUGGAUACACUACACUGUAGAACUGUCGUUUCUCUGACGG
RNAcentral lists this small RNA (83 nucleotides) under Leishmania major strain Friedlin. RNAcentral's name for it is "Leishmania major sRNA LMJF_33_snoRNA0037". Lineage: Eukaryota; Euglenozoa; Kinetoplastea; Trypanosomatida; Trypanosomatidae. The record is from RNAcentral.